This 343-nucleotide long non-coding RNA is filed under the name Medicago truncatula (barrel medic). RNAcentral describes it as "long non-coding RNA (MTRU_LNC001385)". The record is from RNAcentral. Lineage: Eukaryota; Viridiplantae; Streptophyta; Magnoliopsida; Fabales; Fabaceae.
GCUCUUCUCUCUCCUCGCCCGCUUUUUUCCGGUGAUUUACCAACUCUCCGGUGAAGCUCCGGUGGCGUUGUUUUCGUCGAUUUUGCUUGAUUUCUAGCUGUUUUCUCGAUGCUCUUUCAUCCUUCUGUACAGAUCGAAGCUCUCUCAUCCUCUUGUAACCUGUAAUCUUAAGUUUCAUUUGUAGCAUUUUCCGUUACGGUGGAAGUUUCAACGAUAUGAAGGGAGAAAUUGUGGUGGUGGGAGAGAACAGAAGGAGAGGGAAGGUGCUGGGAGAGAACGGUUUUCUUCAUGUUUUUUGGUGUUUUGUUCUUCUAUGAUUUUGCUUAUCCUUCUCCUUCAUCUU